CUCUAGGGAGACUGCCGGUGACAAACCGGAGGAAGGUGGGGACGACGUCAAGUCAUCAUGGCCCUUACGGCCGGGGCUACACACGUGCUACAAUGGUGCAUACAGACGGUUGCGAAUCCGCGAGGUGGAGCUAAUCUGAGAAAGUGCAUCGUAGUCCGGAUUGGAGUCUGCAACUCGACUCCAUGAAGUCGGAAUCGCUAGUAAUCGUGAAUCAGAAUGUCACGGUGAAUACGUUCCCGGGCCUUGUACACACCGCCCGU
Molecule: ribosomal RNA, 260 nt
Filed under: uncultured bacterium
Lineage: Bacteria
Description: partial 16S ribosomal RNA
Rfam family: Bacterial small subunit ribosomal RNA
Source: RNAcentral